This 468-nucleotide ribosomal RNA is filed under the name uncultured bacterium. Its description in RNAcentral is "partial 16S ribosomal RNA". It matches the Rfam family "Bacterial small subunit ribosomal RNA", at positions 28 to 507 of the family's 1533-position model. The record is from RNAcentral.
GACGAACGCUGGCGGCGUGCUUAACACAUGCAAGUCGAACGGAAAGGCCCUGCUUUUGUGGGGUGCUCGAGUGGCGAACGGGUGAGUAACACGUGAGUAACCUGCCCUUGACUUUGGGAUAACUUCAGGAAACUGGGGCUAAUACCGGAUAGGAGCUCCUGCUGCAUGGUGGGGGUUGGAAAGUUUCGGCGGUUGGGGAUGGACUCGCGGCUUAUCAGCUUGUUGGUGGGGUAGUGGCUUACCAAGGCUUUGACGGGUAGCCGGCCUGAGAGGGUGACCGGCCACAUUGGGACUGAGAUACGGCCCAGACUCCUACGGGAGGCAGCAGUGGGGAAUAUUGCACAAUGGGCGGAAGCCUGAUUCAGCAACGCCGCGUGCGGGAUGACGGCCUUCGGGUUGUAAACCGCUUUCGCCUGUGACGAAGCGUGAGUGACGGCAAUGGGUAAAGAAGCACCGGCUAACUACGUG